This 491-nucleotide ribosomal RNA is filed under the name uncultured bacterium. Its description in RNAcentral is "partial 16S ribosomal RNA". It matches the Rfam family "Bacterial small subunit ribosomal RNA", at positions 29 to 506 of the family's 1533-position model. The record is from RNAcentral.
AGUGAACGCUGGCGGUAGGCCUAACACAUGCAAGUCGAACGGCAGCACAGUAAGAGCUUGCUCUUACGGGUGGCGAGUGGCGGACGGGUGAGGAAUACAUCGGAAUCUACUUUUUCGUGGGGGAUAACGUAGGGAAGCUUACGCUAAUACCGCAUACGACCUACGGGUGAAAGCAGGGGAUCUUCGGACCUUGCGCGAUUGAAUGAGCCGAUGUCGGAUUAGCUAGUUGGCGGGGUAAAGGCCCACCAAGGCGACGAUCCGUAGCUGGUCUGAGAGGAUGAUCAGCCACACUGGAACUGAGACACGGUCCAGACUCCUACGGGAGGCAGCAGUGGGGAAUAUUGGACAAUGGGCGCAAGCCUGAUCCAGCCAUACCGCGUGGGUGAAGAAGGCCUUCGGGCUGUAAAGCCCUUUUGUUGGGAAAGAAAAGCAGCAGGUUAAUACCCCGCUGUUCUGACGGUACCCAAAGAAUAAGCACCGGCUAACUUCGU